UACGUAGGGGGCAAGCGUUGUCCGGAUUCAUUGGGCGUAAAGAGCGUGUAGGCGGCCAGGUAGGUCCGUUGUGAAAACUCGAGGCUCAACCUCGAGACGUCGAUGGAAACCAUCUGGCUAGAGUCCGGAAGAGGAGAGUGGAAUUCCUGGUGUAGCGGUGAAAUGCGCAGAUAUCAGGAAGAACACCUAUGGCGAAGGCAGCUCACUGGGACGAUACUGACGCUGAGACGCGAAAGCGUGGGGAGCAAACAGG
Molecule: ribosomal RNA, 253 nt
Filed under: uncultured bacterium
Lineage: Bacteria
Description: partial 16S ribosomal RNA
Rfam family: Bacterial small subunit ribosomal RNA
Source: RNAcentral